UACAGAGGUGGCAAGCGUUGUUCGGAAUUACUGGGCGUAAAGGGCGCGUAGGCGGCCAUCUAAGUCAGACGUGAAAUCCCCCGGCUUAACCUGGGAACUGCGUCUGAUACUGGACGGCUCGAGUAUGGGAGAGGGAUGUAGAAUUCCAGGUGUAGCGGUGAAAUGCGUAGAUAUCUGGAGGAAUACCGGUGGCGAAGGCGGCAUCCUGGACCGGCAUUGACGCUGAGGAGCGAAAGCCAGGGGAGCAAACGGG
This 253-nucleotide ribosomal RNA is filed under the name uncultured bacterium. Its description in RNAcentral is "partial 16S ribosomal RNA". It matches the Rfam family "Bacterial small subunit ribosomal RNA", at positions 524 to 776 of the family's 1533-position model. The record is from RNAcentral.